AGUGAACGCUGGCGGCGUGCUUAACACAUGCAAGUCGAACGAGAACGGGUUAUAGCUUGCUAUAAUUGUCAGCUAAGUGGCGCACGGGUGAGUAAUGUAUAGGUAAUAUGCCUCUUACUAAGGGAUAACAAAUGGAAACGUUUGCUAAUACCUUAUACUCCUCAUUAACAUAAGUUAAUAAGGGAAAGAUUUAUUGGUAAGAGAUUAGCCUGUAUUGUAUCAGUUAGUUGGUGGGGUAAUGGCUUACCAAGACUAUGACACAUAACUGGUUUGAGAGGAUGAUCAGUCACACUGGAACUGAGACACGGUCCAGACUCCUACGGGAGGCAGCAGUGGGGAAUAUUGCACAAUGGACGAAAGUCUGAUGCAGCAACGCCGCGUGGAGGAUGACACAUUUCGGUGCGUAAACUCCUUUUAUAUGAGAAGAUAAUGACGGUAUUAUAUGAAUAAGCACCGGCUAACUCCGUGCCAGCCGCCGCCGUAA
This 484-nucleotide ribosomal RNA is filed under the name uncultured bacterium. RNAcentral's name for it is "partial 16S ribosomal RNA". It matches the Rfam family "Bacterial small subunit ribosomal RNA", at positions 29 to 523 of the family's 1533-position model. The record is from RNAcentral.